This 540-nucleotide long non-coding RNA is filed under the name Eucalyptus grandis. RNAcentral describes it as "long non-coding RNA (EGRA_LNC007750)". The record is from RNAcentral. Lineage: Eukaryota; Viridiplantae; Streptophyta; Magnoliopsida; Myrtales; Myrtaceae.
GUUGCAAUGAUCUGGGUAGUUUAAGCAGGCCAAAUUCGCUAAUCCAAAACAUAAAAUGCUUAAAAUCAAUGAGAAUAAAGUCAAGUCUUUGAUUUUAUCACCCAAACAAAUGAUGAUGGUCGUAAUAUCGCACGGUUUGGGAAGCCAGAAGAUCUACAAAAAGGUCGGGAAGUUAGGCUAAGAGCUCAAUGCCAACGGGGUGGAAUUUGAUGAGCAGUCUUCACCGAUUUCGGUACAUCUCCGCAGGACGCUAAAGGUACGGCCUACAGCAGCCGAGAAACGAGCAGACAGCCAUCUCAGUCUGUCGACGAUGUCCCAAGGUCUCACCCAAGAACUACCCAGUUGAAAUAUUCUCCAAUGGUAGUUGCAGAAUCCAGAGUCCCCUUUUUUUGGCGUUCUGCUUCGUUUGAACACCUUCACCAUUCUAGAGAAAUGCUGGAACUCGUAUGCCAGAAUUCUGGGCUAUGUCAGUACCACCAUGAGUAAACUGCUCCAAUCAGCUGUCCGCACCCAUAAAAGAUUCUCAACAACCUUGUCCAA